Gallus gallus (chicken) is the source of this 3432-nucleotide long non-coding RNA. The record is from Ensembl. Lineage: Eukaryota; Metazoa; Chordata; Aves; Galliformes; Phasianidae.
AAAAGAAGGCAAGGAGUUGUUUUAAUGGGAAAUCUUUGAGGUUGCUGAUUAGAAAUGCACGGUGAAAUGAUAUGACCUCAGCACAACACAGGCCUGGCACAGUGCUGUCCCUUCCUUCAACAUCAUGACCACCAUAAGCAUAAAAGCACUAAUAUGUAUAAGAAAUUUCACCACUAGUACCAUUUUUUCCAUACUUCCUUCCUAACUCCUGCAAGUGACUUCACUGGUUUCACCUUCCAUCACAUCAGACACAGCUUUCUGUCCUCGCUCCCUAAGCCCUGUCACGUUAUCUCACAUACAGGAUUGCUAUGGCCGUGUCAUAACCAGGAGCACCCAAGUCUCCAUUCCUCCCCCAAGCCCUCAUUUGCUUUUACCUCCUUAUCCCCUCUCAGAGGGUGAAACGGCAUCCAGCCCUCAGUGAGGCAGCUUUCCCUCACCCACCUCAGAACGUGCUGUCACCACAAACUGUCCAGAAGAAACAAUCCAAGGAAGGAUGGUCAUGCGGCGAGCAGGCUCUUCCACUCCCAAGAGAGGAAGAAGGUGUUCGUGCUGCCCCCCUUCCUGCUUCCUCUUGUUCCACACGUUGCACACACUUCAAGACUGAGAAUAUGGUUUUCUACACAUCGCACAAUGAGACCUCUACCAUGACCAGCUUUGCAGGACUCUGCAAGGGCUGGGGCAGUCUGGCAGGAAGCCAACAAGGCUUGCAUCUCUGCAGAGCGUUUCAGUUGUCCUGUGAUGUUGCUGAGUGGCUCUGGGUGACCAGCUUACUUCUUCCAUCGAGGCUGCCCCGGGGGUACACAGGGAGAACACAUAAUCUUUCCACCUAUGGGAAAGAAGCCUUCCCAGGGGAAAAGACAUUCAUGUACCCCGGGAAGCCUCUCUCAUCUGGGAGCAGGCUAGCCUCAGGCUGUGCCUUGACCUCACCUCUGUCUCUGGCUGUCAGCACUGCAGCUGCAGCCUGCUUGGGGCAAGGGAAAGGCUUUCACUGCAGACUGCCAGGACUUGGGAGCUGCAAGCCUGUCUGUUUAAUGAAUGCUCCAUGUGCUGUGCAGCUUGACUCUCUAAUGUCAACGUUCAUUCAGUGCAGAGGAUAAUAACUUGUAGAGAAGAGAGCCACUCCUGCCAAAUCCAGCAAUCAGAGUUCUACCUCCCCUUCCAUAUAGCGAGCACAAUCCUAUAUUUUAAAAAUCUCAUCUGUCGAUCAGGGUAUUUACUAUGCUCUGUAUUCAUCCCCAGGGCUUUUGAGCACUCACUUAUCAAAGCAUUUGCCUGUAAAGUGGGAAUUUAAUUCUGAUCUUUAAAGAAAGGGGGAAAAGCUUAAAUGGCAGGCUGGAUUGCAAACAGGACAGAGGCCUUUACCUUUUGGACUGCCAUCUAAAAUGAGCAGAUUGCAGAGGGCUUGGUGAAAACAGCCAGAUCUGUGGCAGGUAGCUGCCUGCAUUGCAGCAGGCACCUUGCAGGGGCUGUGAAGGGCUGCAACUGUCCUCUUGCUUCCACAUUCCUCGGGAGGGACAGCUCUGAGCAUUGCUGAAGCCGCAUGGCUAGCUCUACAGCAGGGUCCUGGAGGGCUGAGCGAGAAACUGGAAGGCACCACUCAGAAAUGCAGAGCUGGAACUUUGGCAUUUAUUUCCCUGAGCUCAGCCUCAGGGUCAAACAGCACCACAGAAAUUGCCUUGUGAAGGGACAUUGCAAGGAGCACGUUAUCACCAGAAUUGUUAAUGCCUGUUUCCAUUUCGAAACAUGAAGCUCAAUUUCCUUCUCGCACCUCUGAUAUAAUUUUGCAGCAUUCAGCACUCUGUGGUGACUGUUGAUAUAUAAAUAACUAAUUAGAUAAGGCUCUGUUUAUCUGAGAGAGCCACAGCCUUCUCAAGGCAAAGCUCGGGCUGCACAAGAUGUAUAAUGUGCUGCUAGCUUUUAAGGACAGCCAGGCCAAGUCCUAUACUGCUGUGUUGACUGAAGGCAUACUUUUCCAAAAAAAAUCAAGGCUCAAGUUGGAUUCCUGAGUCUGUGGUUGAGCUUCAGAAGUGCAGCUGGAUUGUCAACCUACCAACACCCUUGAAGUCGGUGCACAUUCCAAGUGUGCUGGAAGUCAGAGCAGUUACGCGGGAGCCAAGGACUGGCAGCGCAGCCAAGAUGUCCAGAAUGCUCGUCAGUGUUUCAGAAGCAUGCAGGAGGCCUUAGCUGAAAAUCCUAGCCAAGCCUUGGGCAACCAUCAUGUUUUAAUUCCCUCCCUAGUACAAGAAGCGUUUCAGUGAAAAGAGUGCUGUGGCUUUCCUCUGUCCCUGCUUUCCUGAGGACAUCCACCUCCACUGCCGAUCAGCCCAUAGGGUUCAUUCUCCACUAAUAUUUCAGAUGAAUUCGUGGACUUGACCCUGGGACUCUAGAAACAGAGGGUAGGAUGGGAAAGGGAGAAGCUGGAAGUGCAUCAGUUGAAGUACUGACAAAGAGAAAUCAGGCAUCUAGCAAGCAAGAUUAGCCAUAUAUUUAUGUCACAAAAAACAGUCUUGAGAAGAUCUACCUCCAAUUAUAUGUCUUCCCUGCUGUCAGAAAAAAUUACACUCAGUAAGGGGAAAAAUUCCCCCGUCCCCACUUGAGGAAUGUAUUUCUUACAGAGACAGUAAAUACUUUUCUUUGGAUUGAAGAUGGUUGCUUAUUUUUUAUACUGGAGGUUGACAAGCCAGCAGCCGAGUCUCCCUCUAGUCUUUAAAGACAGGUCUAUGGCAACAGGAGUGCCCCCACAUGAAGGGAGAAAACAGUUGGACUGCAGAAUCUGCUCCGGCAUCCGCCCUGGGGGAGUCUCUAAAGACCCUGCAUGUCCACAUGAUUAAGGUGAAACUAUUGUGGUGAAGUUUGGUCCAAGAAGGCAGGUCCAAUAACCUGCAAGAUGAAGUGUGUGCUAUUGUUAAAACAGGCCAGAAUUUGGUGGUGUGUUAUUGCUGGCACUCCUCCAAAGAGGAAAUGAGCAUACUUGUGCUCUGCAGAAGGUGGGCUAGUGGGUAGUUGGGUUUCACACCAAGUCUGCAACUGUUCUGCUCCUUUGGCUGCACAGAGGUGUGUGUGAUGAGAUAGGGAGCGUAUUGCCUGUGCCAUGCUGACUUAGGGCUCGUGUUGGGCCUGAUGGAUGAGACAGAUGGGCUGGGAGAAGGAUCUGUGUCAUGGAGCACUGGUUUGGCAGCAGUUGCUGGAGCUUGGUGAGUGCAAAGAGCCAGUCUCUGGUGCUCACAGAAGGUGCUGUGAUGACUGUGCUGGCAAAGGCCUCCUCUCUCCUUAGCGAGAAGUGAAACUUGGGACAGGCACAGCAAAGCACUGGUGGCUACUGGCCAGCAUCCUUUGACUGGAAGGAACACUACUGGUCCAGAAGGGGCUGGUUUUGCUGGUCCUUGCAGACCUUAUCAUCUUUGUUCAGCCUGCUAGAAAGUUGGACAAGCU